ACACGUCAUACAAUGGUCGGUACAGAGGGUUGCCAAGCCGCGAGGCGGAGCCAAUCCCACAAAGCCGAUCGUAGUCCGGAUUGUUCUCUGCAACUCGAGAGCAUGAAGUCGGAAUCGCUAGUAAUCGCAGGUCAGCAUACUGCGGUGAAUACGUUCCCGGGUCUU
Molecule: ribosomal RNA, 165 nt
Filed under: uncultured Thiobacillus sp.
Lineage: Bacteria; Pseudomonadati; Pseudomonadota; Betaproteobacteria; Nitrosomonadales; Thiobacillaceae
Description: partial 16S ribosomal RNA
Rfam family: Bacterial small subunit ribosomal RNA
Source: RNAcentral